Molecule: long non-coding RNA, 1575 nt
Filed under: Homo sapiens (human)
Lineage: Eukaryota; Metazoa; Chordata; Mammalia; Primates; Hominidae
Description: long non-coding RNA NONHSAT119698.2
Source: RNAcentral
CAACCUAACCCUACCUGCUGUGACCAGGUGGAGGUGUGUGGUGGAAGGGGAAAGCCGGCCGGCUGGCAAAGCGCUGCGGAGAAAGACACGAGGCUCCUGAGCAGGGAAAGCCGAGGUUGCCACCGCAGGCCUGGCACGACCAGGGCCGUGAUGCCCCGCCCGGCCCGACCCCCGCGCGCAGAGGUACCUGGAGACGAUUUCAACUGAAGUAAUGAAGGCAGUGUCGUGCUGUCGAGAGAAAGGUGGAUCCCAACAACAGGAAACUACCUAAAUCACCGACCAGUUCUGGUGCUGCCCGCGAAGGGCUGCCUCGCCCGCCGCCGCCGCCGCCUCCGCCGCUGCCGCCGCCGCCAAGGAGAGAACCCUGCCAUCGCGCCUGGCCCGGCCCAGCCCAGCCCCUAGGCAACCUGCGCCCGCCAGUGCAACAGAGUGCCCCAGGCGGCCGCAAAUGCGUCAAGGAAGGGGAAGCCACAGGCCCCAGUAAGCCAAAGUCAAGCCCGUUUGCCAACCUGCAUGUCCAUGCCUGUAAGCCCUUCUCUUGGCCAAGGAAGAAAGGAAGAAAGAAAAAAGAAACCCAGGGGCCUGUAUCCCCUGAUUAAACACAGCACAGCACUCCAGGCAGACAUGCCCGGUGGCGGCUCCUUUGCACCAUUGACCUCAGGCCAGACACCUCAGCGCCAACAAUGGGACCUCGGCCUUCCGGCUAGGUUUGCCCCAGGCUGGGCAGGAAACCAGCUCGGCCGAAGACAGGGGCCAUUUCGAGCAGUGGGACCCCAAGACAGCAAACCCAGCCCAGUCAGGACUUGACACUUAGGACAAUAUCUAUCUCUAUAGAAUUUUAGCAUGAUAUGGCUUUUUCCCCCAGAAAACAACAAAUAAACCAGCACCAAGCAAACACAAAGAAACAAAAAGUCAGAACAAACCAGCCCUGCACAGAUGUAACGGCCCAGGAGAUGGCGAGUGUGGGAGGGAGGAACAGGGCUCCAGCACAGGUGCGAGUUCCUGGGCAGAGCCUGAAGACAGAGGGAGGGGACCAGCGCUCGGGAAGUGAAAAAACCGCGUCGCCUGGAGAUUCAUCAGGAAAAAUUAAAGUUGGCUGUGAGCUCCCGGAUCCGGUUUUCUCGAUUCAUUUUCUUCAGUUUCAUCCUGCGGUUCUGAAACCAGAUUUUCACUUGUCUGUCCGUGAGGUGGACGCUGCGGCUAAUCUCUAGGCGCCGCUCUCGAGUAAGGUACAUAUUGAACAGAAACUCCUUCUCCAGCUCCAGUGUCUGGUGCUUCGUGUAGGGGCAGCGCUUCUUCCGACCACUCUUUGCCGUGAGCCAGUUGGCUGCGUUUUCACCUUUGGAAUUGCCUGGCAUGUAAGAGAAUAAAGAGGGGAUGAUUAAGUCGAGGCCACACGGGCUGCCCGCGGGGGUGAAUUGCCUCCGUUUCUCCCAUAAGAGAGAUGUCCCAAGUCACAGAGAAGAGAGUCGUGCCCCCGUUUUUGGCUUGCUGAGAGCAAGCAGUUCCUCCAAAAGUCAUGACAAAAAUUGAGUGGGCCUUCAAUCUACAUGACCCUUCCAAUUUACAUUUCCC